AUGCAAAAUAGGCAGCCUUACAUCAGCUUCCUGGCGAGGAUCACACUUCCAGCUGGGGCGUGAGACCAGCUGCACUCUGGCCAUGGUUUUGCAGAGUGCUCUGGAGGCAGUGUGGCUGGGGCUCCUCCUCAGCUCUCCUUGGAAGCUUGCAGAGAGCAAGGACCAAGUGUUUCAGCCUCCUGGCAUGGCUUCUCCGGAGGGCGCUGUGGUGGAAAUCUCCUGCAAUCACUCUAUAUCUAAUGCUUACACCUUCUUCUGGUACCUUCACAUCCCAGGACACGCUCCAAGACUCCUGGUUCGGGGUUCCAGGUCUUCUCAGCAGGGACGCUACAACAUGACGAAUGAGCGAUUCUCCUCACUGCUGCUUAUCCCCCAGGUGCAGGUGGAAGAUGCUGCCACUUACUAUUGUGCUCUGGAGGGCACAGAGGCAGGGAGCCUAUGAAGAGCUGAGCAGAAACAGGAAGGGGCACAGCCUUUGCAGGAAGCGGAAAAGAGGGGAGCCAUAACUGCUUUCCUCCCUGAUUCAGCGUGCCCCAAGCAUGUCCACUUGGCACUAUCAGAAAACAUUUUGAGUGCAGACACACUAUGUGAGAGCAGAUGGACAUGGGAAAAUAUGCUUGUAGGGGUUGAUUCAGUAAUGGUGCUACAGAUCAGUACUUCAAACAGUUUUCUGGAUAA
Lynx canadensis (Canada lynx) is the source of this 678-nucleotide non-coding RNA. The record is from the annotation of a RefSeq genome assembly. NCBI's taxonomy places the organism in Eukaryota, Metazoa, Chordata, Mammalia, Carnivora, Felidae.